CCCCCGUGAUGAGUUGCCAUGCUAAUACCGAGGCACCAGGCAAGGCCAUGGGCGCUCUGCAGUGGGUGCUUUUGAGUUAAACUCUACUUCUCGUGCGGAGACCUGAGGGGC
Tachyglossus aculeatus (Australian echidna) is the source of this 111-nucleotide small nucleolar RNA. Lineage: Eukaryota; Metazoa; Chordata; Mammalia; Monotremata; Tachyglossidae. The record is from RefSeq and is a predicted model, not a curated record.